AUAUUAAGAGAUAAAAACACGAUCCGGUUGGUAGUCCGGAUGCAGGAGUAUUCCUGUCAGUAACCUGCCCUCCUGGGGUUGUCCCUUCUCUUUAUAAUCAAA
Molecule: non-coding RNA, 102 nt
Filed under: Pseudobacteroides cellulosolvens
Lineage: Bacteria; Bacillati; Bacillota; Clostridia; Eubacteriales; Oscillospiraceae
Also listed under: 1 other name
Description: Azaaromatic sequence
Rfam family: azaaromatic riboswitch aptamer (yjdF RNA)
Source: RNAcentral